UCUGAGUUGAGUAGGAUGCUCUUGUG
This 26-nucleotide non-coding RNA is filed under the name Mus musculus (house mouse). Lineage: Eukaryota; Metazoa; Chordata; Mammalia; Rodentia; Muridae. The record is from RNAcentral.